This is a non-coding RNA of Podarcis lilfordi (Lilford's wall lizard), 77 nucleotides long. NCBI's taxonomy places the organism in Eukaryota, Metazoa, Chordata, Lepidosauria, Squamata, Lacertidae. The record is from the annotation of a GenBank genome assembly.
GUUGCUUUAGCUCAGUUUGUUAGAGAGUGGUGCUGAUAACAACACCAAGGUUGCAGGUUUGAUCCCCAUAAGUGACA